This 274-nucleotide ribosomal RNA is filed under the name uncultured bacterium. RNAcentral describes it as "partial 16S ribosomal RNA". It matches the Rfam family "Bacterial small subunit ribosomal RNA", at positions 523 to 796 of the family's 1533-position model. The record is from RNAcentral.
ACACGGGGGGGGCGAGCGUUAUUCGGAAUUACUGGGCGUAAAGGGCACGUAGGCGGCCUGAUAAGUGUGAAGUGAAAUGCUUGGGCUCAACCUGGGACUUGCUUUGCAUACUGUCAGGCUAGAGUCCGGGAGAGGCUGGUGGAAUUCCUGGUGUAGGGGUGAAAUCCGUAGAUAUCAGGAGGAACACCGUUGGAGAAGUCGGCCAGCUGGACCGGGACUGACGCUGAGGUGCGAAAGCGUGGGGAGCAAACAGGAUUAGAAACCCCAGUAGUCC